GGGCGGUUAGCUCAGUUGGUAGAGCGCCUGCUUUACACGCAGGAUGUCGGGGGUUCGAGUCCCUCACCGCCCACCA
This 76-nucleotide transfer RNA is filed under the name Hyphomicrobiales bacterium. RNAcentral's name for it is "Rhizobiales bacterium (bioreactor metagenome) tRNA-Val". It matches the Rfam family "tRNA". From Rfam's summary of the family: Transfer RNA (tRNA) molecules are approximately 80 nucleotides in length. RNAcentral also lists the same sequence under 6 other names. The record is from RNAcentral. Lineage: Bacteria; Pseudomonadati; Pseudomonadota; Alphaproteobacteria; Hyphomicrobiales.